This 253-nucleotide ribosomal RNA is filed under the name uncultured bacterium. Its description in RNAcentral is "partial 16S ribosomal RNA". It matches the Rfam family "Bacterial small subunit ribosomal RNA", at positions 524 to 776 of the family's 1533-position model. The record is from RNAcentral.
UACGUAGGAUGCUAGCGUUGUCCGGAUUUACUGGGCGUAAAGCGCGCGCAGGCGGCACUGUAAGUAAGGUGUGAAAUCUCCUGGCUCAACUGGGAGGGUGCGCCGGAAACUGGAGUGCUUGAGCGUGGGAGAGGAAAGCGGAAUUCCUGGUGUAGCGGUGAAAUGCGUAGAUAUCAGGAGGAACACCUGUGGUGUAGACGGCUUUCUGGACCAUAGCUGACGCUGAGACACGAAAGCGUGGGUAGCAAACAGG